Antechinus flavipes (yellow-footed antechinus) is the source of this 2145-nucleotide long non-coding RNA. RefSeq lists it as uncharacterized. Lineage: Eukaryota; Metazoa; Chordata; Mammalia; Dasyuromorphia; Dasyuridae. The record is from RefSeq and is a predicted model, not a curated record. The transcript is spliced from 3 exons.
GCUCCUGGAGCCUGGAGCAGCAGCAGCAGCAGCAGCAGAGCAAAGCAGGGCAGGGCCAGGCCUCCCCUGCCUCCCCUCCCCCUGUCCCCGCCAGAGAGGCCAUUUUGGAAUGUUAAUUGGAAACACAAGCAGUUUCCAGCCGGCUAGGGGUAGCUCUCAGCCAAAGGAGCUGCGGGGAGGGGGAGUGGAAGGGCUCUCCAGAGAGAAAACGGGCAGGGGGUUCCCCUCCGGGUGGGCAGGACUGAAGGCUUUUGGCCAAGGCCAAGGGAAGCUCUGGUCAGAAGCCUGGACGCCUGGGUCCCUUCCUCCAGCUGAAAUUUUAUUGUUUCCCUUGGCUUGGGCGGCGGGGAGGGGGUGAGAGGCUCCCUCACCCCUCACCGUCGGGCGGGUACAGAGAAAGAAGCCCCAACAUCCUCUCUCUCCGGGGAAAGCUCCCAACAGGGGCCGCCUCCCUUCCUCUCUUUCCCUUCCCCCUCCUUAAAAAAAUGAAUCCCAAACCUGGUCUGCAAGAGGGGGUGCUGGCCCAGGGGGUGAGCCGAGGCCAGAACGGAUUUAACUACAAGCUUGCCAGGCAGGAACAGCGGCUUCCUCCCCAAGACUCUGGCUGUGGGCUGCGGGGGGCAGGGGAUGGGUGAGAGGGUCCCCACCCACCUGGAGGGACCGGGCGACCGCCACCCUCCCCUCCCUCUACCACCUACACUAUUCCUUCUCAGCAACUGAGAAAAAAGCACGGAGGGGGGAAAAGUUUGUUCCUCCCACGGAAAUCGUGCCGGGAAGGGAGAGGGGAGCCGGAGGGGUCCCUGCCGCGGGGUCAGGGGGGAGGGGAGCAGAGAGCUGGCUCCUCCAUCCUCCAGGUGGGGAGCCAGAAAGGAGGGGAGGCCCCAGAGUUCUCCCAGUUGGGCAGAGAAAGAUAAAAGGCCCCCAGCAUGGGGGUCUCCUGGGAUGUAAAGGACUCUGAGGUGGGGGAGGAGGGGCUGUCCCGCCCUGAGCCUCUCGAGUCUAUUUUACUCUCCUCCAUAUCUAACCACUUCCUAACUAAGAGCAAUGAUUAACCGGGAGCAGUCUGGCCCUCCCCUUCCCCCAGACUGUAAAUCCUUGGAAGGCAGGACUGUUAUUUUUCCAUUUUUGAAAUCUCAGUGUCAAGCACCUAGGAGGUAUUUAAUAAAUGUUUACUGAACCCAGGGCAGCUCAGCUCCCGGAAAGGCAAACAGAUAAGGCCCGGGCUGGGGAGAGGGGUGGCCCAGGGACCGAGCCAGGGCAGCACAAAGGGAAAGGCAGGCUCCAGAGGGGGAGGGGGCGCGGCCCCCAGAGGCUAAUUAGGAUAACUCUAAGAUAAAGAGGGGCCGAGUGGGAAGGGCAGGGCCAGGCUGAUAAUCCUGGGGCUCUGGGUCAAAUUCUGGGUCAGGGGAAAAGGGGACCCAAGGCAGGGAGAGGGCUUGGGAAGGGGGCGGCCAGCAUCCCGAGGAACAACACAGACAUCAGGGUCUGGAUGGCUGAAGGGUUAAAGGGGAGGGGUACCGGUCCCAGCCGGUCUAGAUUAGGACAAGGGGGCAAGUUCCUGGUGCGAGGCUGGGGGGAAGGAUGGUCCGAGUGGUGCGAGGACAGGGAGAAUGGGGAGUGAGGGCGGUUAGAGUGUGGGUUGGGGAGGGCAGUUCCUGAGGACUGGCCUGAAUGCGGGGAAGGCCGGUCAGUUUGGGUUGGUGUGAGGAGGCUGACUGCACUUCUCAGUUGGGGAGGGAAGGGGGGUCCAGUCUGGGCGAGGGGGAAGGAGCGCCCCAAUCCCCACUUCGGCACUCAGUCUGGGGAGGCAGUCCCUAGUCUGGGGUGGUGGGUAGGGACGGCAGAAUCUCGGUAAAAGUACAGGGCGCCCUACUUGGGGCCGGAAAGCACGAAGGAGAGCCCAGCUCCUGAUUCCCCUGGCGGAGUCACUGAAGCUAUGGCAAGACCAAAGUAAACACUAAUGGCAUGACCCAGCUGAUAGCACCGAUUCUAUCCUCCAACAGGCACCUGCUGCAGCCACAAGAGCGUGUCUGUGACACUCCCUGCUCAGGCGAACUUCCCCCGGCCGUCUCCGCGGCAGGAAAGCCUAGCCCGAAUACACCCCAACGCAUCCCAGCAUGUCGGCACCUGUGCGGGAAGUACCUG